This 76-nucleotide transfer RNA is filed under the name Muribaculaceae bacterium. RNAcentral's name for it is "tRNA-Ala". It matches the Rfam family "tRNA". Rfam says of the family: Transfer RNA (tRNA) molecules are approximately 80 nucleotides in length. Their secondary structure includes four short double-helical elements and three loops (D, anti-codon, and T loops). Further hydrogen bonds mediate the characteristic L-shaped molecular structure. tRNAs have two regions of fundamental functional importance: the anti-codon, which is responsible for specific mRNA codon recognition, and the 3' end, to which the tRNAs corresponding amino acid is attached (by aminoacyl-tRNA synthetases). tRNAs cope with the degeneracy of the genetic code in two manners: having more than one tRNA (with a specific anti-codon) for a particular amino acid; and 'wobble' base-pairing, i.e. permitting non-standard base-pairing at the 3rd anti-codon position. Lineage: Bacteria; Pseudomonadati; Bacteroidota; Bacteroidia; Bacteroidales; Muribaculaceae. The record is from RNAcentral.
GGGGUCGUAGCUCAACUGGGAGAGCAACAGCUUUGCAAGCUGAAGGUUGAGGGUUCAAGUCCCUUCGAUUCCACCA